UCUGGACCCAACAAUCAAGGAACUAAGCAGCUCAAAAGCACACAGAGUGGGAGUCACAAAGCUGUUUUGAUGGACAGCAUAUCUGGGUGGCUGAACUAUUCAUCUGUUAAGUUGCCUUCUUUGGAGUGGAUACUUCAUCUUUCAAAGGGCUAAUUACAGUGUUGACUACCCAAUGUACUGUAUGGGUUCUAUUUCACUGUUGAUCUCUGCAUGAGGAACAGGCUGCAGAUAAGCUAGUCACAAAUGUCAGAUUUUGAAUUACCUAUGUAUGGACAAGUCAAUUAGUGAGUGGCAAUAAGUCAUCAGAUGCAAUUGCAGGGAAUAUGCAGUCUGGUCUUCCCUUUCUCAAGAGGCUCUUAUCUUCUCAUCUAUUGCAGCUAUAACUUGAAACUCUGCUGCAGUUGCCAUCUGGCAUAUAAGCAUGGAUCUGGGCCUAAAUGCAAACCAAUAAAGAUGGAUGAAAGAC
Molecule: long non-coding RNA, 466 nt
Organism: Chelonia mydas (Green sea turtle)
Lineage: Eukaryota; Metazoa; Chordata; Testudines; Cheloniidae
Exons: 4
Source: RefSeq, a predicted model, not a curated record